UUGUAAAUAUGUAGCCCGCUCAGGAUGGAGCUAACCUGAACUCUGUAAUUUGCAGGGGAGGCUCACUGCCCCUUGGAUGGGCAGUGAGCUCUGGGUU
This is an unclassified non-coding RNA of Neogale vison (American mink), 97 nucleotides long. The record is from Ensembl. NCBI's taxonomy places the organism in Eukaryota, Metazoa, Chordata, Mammalia, Carnivora, Mustelidae.